CGGUUACUUAAGCAGGAUGUGAAAUCCCCGGGCUCAACCUGGGAACUGCGUUCUGAACUGGGUGACUAGAGUGUGUCAGAGGGAGGUAGAAUUCCACGUGUAGCAGUGAAAUGCGUAGAGAUGUGGAGGAAUACCGAUGGCGAAGGCAGCCUCCUGGGAUAACACUGACGUUCAUGCUCGAAAGCGUGGGUAGCAAACAGGAUUAGAUACCCUGGUAGUCCACGCCCUAAACGAUGUCAAUUAGCUGUUGGGCAACUUGAUUGCUUAGUAGCGUAGCUAACGCGUGAAAUUGACCGCCUGGGGAGUACGGUCGCAAGAUUAAAACUCAAAGGAAUUGACGGGGACCCGCACAAGCGGUGGAUGAUGUGGAUUAAUUCGAUGCAACGCGAAGAACCUUACCUGGUCUUGACAUGUACGGAAUCCUCCAGAGACGGAGGAGUGCCUUCGGGAACCGUAACACAGGUGCUGCAUGGCUGUCGUCAGCUCGUGUCGUGAG
Molecule: ribosomal RNA, 496 nt
Filed under: uncultured bacterium
Lineage: Bacteria
Description: bacterial SSU rRNA
Rfam family: Bacterial small subunit ribosomal RNA
Source: RNAcentral